RNAcentral lists this small nuclear RNA (196 nucleotides) under Ipomoea nil (Japanese morning glory). RNAcentral describes it as "U2 spliceosomal RNA". It matches the Rfam family "U2 spliceosomal RNA". Rfam says of the family: U2 is a small nuclear RNA (snRNA) component of the spliceosome (involved in pre-mRNA splicing). Complementary binding between U2 snRNA (in an area lying towards the 5' end but 3' to hairpin I) and the branchpoint sequence (BPS) of the intron results the bulging out of an unpaired adenosine, on the BPS, which initiates a nucleophilic attack at the intronic 5' splice site, thus starting the first of two transesterification reactions that mediate splicing. Lineage: Eukaryota; Viridiplantae; Streptophyta; Magnoliopsida; Solanales; Convolvulaceae. The record is from Rfam by way of RNAcentral.
AUACCUUUCUCGGCCUUUUGGCUAAGAUCAAGUGUAGUAUCUGUUCUUAUCAGUUUAAUAUCUGAUACGUGGGCCAAUGGCUCACAUGAUAUUAACUCAAUUUUUUUAGGGGAAAGACCUGUUAAGGCAGCUUGCUGCCUGGGCCUUUGAGCAUCGCCUUGGUUUUGCACUAUAGCCCUGGCCUGGUACACCCCAC